This is a long non-coding RNA of Leopardus geoffroyi (Geoffroy's cat), 482 nucleotides long. RefSeq lists it as uncharacterized. The transcript is spliced from 2 exons. The record is from RefSeq and is a predicted model, not a curated record. Lineage: Eukaryota; Metazoa; Chordata; Mammalia; Carnivora; Felidae.
CAGGGCACAGAGUAAGGAACCUUCCCCCCGGGGGGAGGCAGGGAGCGGGUCUGCUGGCUCUCCGCGUCCCAGAGACCAGACACCCUCGGGCCUUGGAGCCCCGAUGAGAAAUGUGUCUGGAGUGUUCUGGGAGCCCCGACUCCCACGGGCCUUCCUCCUCAGACGGGGCGGGCUCAUCCUUCCUUGGGCAGCUAUUUCCCCUCUCACUCCCGCUGCCUUGGCGCUGGUGAGGCGGGGAACAGCCCCCAGACUGGCUCACCGGCGGUGGCUGACCAAGAGCCAUGAGCAGAUGAGGAAACUGCCGGAGACACUCAGUAGUCACCCAUCUAAAGGAUAUCGCAUUGCACUGAAGACUAAAUAGUUUAUAAAGUUUAGAAAGUCCCCUCCCAGUUCCAAAAGCAAAGGGACAAUAGACCUUCAUGGUGAAGUAAGAGCUUUGGGUGUGUUCAUUAGCAAACGAAGGCUGUGCUGUGCGACUUUGG